Molecule: ribosomal RNA, 1062 nt
Filed under: Clostridioides difficile
Lineage: Bacteria; Bacillati; Bacillota; Clostridia; Peptostreptococcales; Peptostreptococcaceae
Description: partial 23S ribosomal RNA
Rfam family: Bacterial large subunit ribosomal RNA
Source: RNAcentral
AGAUAUGAUCCAGAGUACCACGGGACACGUGAAACCCUGUGGGAAGCAGGAGGGACCACCCUCCAAGGCUAAAUACUACCUAGUGACCGAUAGCGUAUAGUACCGUGAGGGAAAGGUGAAAAGAACCCCGGGAGGGGAGUGAAAUAGAACCUGAAACCCUGCACUUACAAGCUGUGGAAGCACAUUUCUUGUGUGACCGCGUACUUUUUGUAGAACGGGCCAACGAGUUACGUUAAGUAGCAAGGUUAAGCACUUAAGGUGCGGAGCCGUAGCGAAAGCGAGUUUUAACUGAGCGUUCAGUUACUUGACGUAGACCCGAAACCGGGCGACCUACCCAUGAGCAGGAUGAAGCGAAAGUAAAAUUUCGUGGAGGUCCGAACCCACGAGCGUUGAAAAGCUCGGGGAUGACUUGUGGGUAGCGGUGAAAUUCCAAUCGAGCCCGGAGAUAGCUGGUUCUCCCCGAAAUAGCUUUAGGGCUAGCCUCAAGGUGAGAGAUACGGAGGUAGAGCACUGAAUGUCCUAGGGGGUAUUGCACCUACCGAAGACUAUCAAACUCCGAAUGCCGUCAUCUUAUACUUGGGAGUCAGACUGUGGGUGAUAAGAUUCAUAGUCGAAAGGGCAACAGCCCAGAUCGUCAGCUAAGGUCCCUAAAUGUAAGUUAAGUGGUAAAGGAUGUGGGAUUGCACAGACAACCAGGAUGUUGGCUUAGAAGCAGCCACUCAUUCAAAGAGUGCGUAAUAGCUCACUGGUCGAGUGAUCCUGCGCCGAAGAUUUCCGGGGCUAAAACUUACUACCGAAGCUACGGCAUCAGUAAUGAUGGGUAGGGGAGCUUCCCAUACGGGUUGAAGCAUGACCGUAAGGACAUGUGGACAGUAUGGGAGUGAGAAUGUUGGCAUGAGUAGCGAGAUGUGGGUGAGAAUCCCACAGGCCGUAAACCCAAGGUUUCCAGGGGAAGGUUCGUCCGCCCUGGGUUAGUCGGGACCUAAGCUGAGGCCGAAAGGCGUAGGUGAUGGACAACAGGUUGAUAUUCCUGUACUACCGAUAACCGUUUGAGAGAAGGGA